CCUACGGUGGCAGCAGUGGGGAAUAUUGGACAAUGGGCGAAAGCCUGAUCCAGCCAUGCCGCGUGUGUGAAGAAGGCCUUCGGGUUGUAAAGCACUUUCAGUGGGGAAGAAAGCCUUGGGGCUAAUACCCUCGAGGAAGGACAUCACCCACAGAAGAAGCACCGGCUAACUCCGUGCCAGCAGCCGCGGUAAUACGGAGGGUGCGAGCGUUAAGCGGAAUUACUGGGCGUAAAGCGCGCGUAGGCGGUCUGAUAAGCCGGUUGUGAAAGCCCCGGGCUCAACCUGGGAACGGCAUCCGGAACUGUCAGGCUAGAGUGCAGGAGAGGAAGGUAGAAUUCCCGGUGUAGCAGUGAAAUGCGUAGAGAUAGGGAGGAAUACCAGUGGCGAAGGCGGCCUUCUGGACUGACACUGACGCUGAGGUGCGAAAGCGUGGGUAGCAAACAGGAUUAGAUACCCCAGUAGUC
Molecule: ribosomal RNA, 464 nt
Filed under: Vreelandella stevensii
Lineage: Bacteria; Pseudomonadati; Pseudomonadota; Gammaproteobacteria; Oceanospirillales; Halomonadaceae
Description: partial 16S ribosomal RNA
Rfam family: Bacterial small subunit ribosomal RNA
Source: RNAcentral